Molecule: transfer RNA, 72 nt
Filed under: Marmota monax (woodchuck)
Lineage: Eukaryota; Metazoa; Chordata; Mammalia; Rodentia; Sciuridae
Rfam family: tRNA
About the family: Transfer RNA (tRNA) molecules are approximately 80 nucleotides in length. Their secondary structure includes four short double-helical elements and three loops (D, anti-codon, and T loops). Further hydrogen bonds mediate the characteristic L-shaped molecular structure. tRNAs have two regions of fundamental functional importance: the anti-codon, which is responsible for specific mRNA codon recognition, and the 3' end, to which the tRNAs corresponding amino acid is attached (by aminoacyl-tRNA synthetases). tRNAs cope with the degeneracy of the genetic code in two manners: having more than one tRNA (with a specific anti-codon) for a particular amino acid; and 'wobble' base-pairing, i.e. permitting non-standard base-pairing at the 3rd anti-codon position.
Source: Rfam by way of RNAcentral
AAUGAUGUAGCUCAGUAGUAGAGCACUUGUCUAGCAUGCACGAGGCCCUGAGUUCAAUUCCCAGCACCACAA